This 253-nucleotide ribosomal RNA is filed under the name uncultured bacterium. RNAcentral describes it as "partial 16S ribosomal RNA". It matches the Rfam family "Bacterial small subunit ribosomal RNA", at positions 524 to 776 of the family's 1533-position model. The record is from RNAcentral.
UACGGGGGGUGCAAGCGUUGUUCGGAAUCAUUGGGCGUAAAGAGCGUGUAGGCGGCGGGAUAAGUCAGAUGUGAAAGCCCUGGGCUCAACCUGGGAAGUGCAUUUGAAACUGUCCUGCUAGAGUAAGGGAGAGGGAAGUGGAAUUCCUGGUGUAGAGGUGAAAUUCGUAGAUAUCAGGAGGAACACCGGUGGCGAAGGCGACUUCCUGGCCCUAUACUGACGCUGAGACGCGAGAGCGUGGGGAGCAAACAGG